AGACAGAGGUGGCAAGCGUUGUUCGGAUUUACUGGGCGUAAAGAGCAUGUAGGCGGUUAGAUUAGUCAGUUGUGAAAUCCUAUGGCUUAACCAUAGAAUUGCAUCUGAUACUGUCUAGCUAGAGUGCAGGAGAGGAGAGUGGAAUUUCCAGUGUAGCGGUGAAAUGCGUAGAUAUUGGAAGGAACACCGGUGGCGAAGGCGGCUCUCUGGUCUGUAACUGACGCUGAGAUGCGAAAGCGUGGGUAGCAAACAGGAUUAGAAACCCUAGUAGUCC
Molecule: ribosomal RNA, 274 nt
Filed under: uncultured bacterium
Lineage: Bacteria
Description: partial 16S ribosomal RNA
Rfam family: Bacterial small subunit ribosomal RNA
Source: RNAcentral